CCUACGGGGGGCUGCAGUGGGGAAUAUUGGACAAUGGGCGAAAGCCUGAUCCAGCCAUGCCGCGUGUGUGAAGAAGGCCUUCGGGUUGUAAAGCACUUUCAGUGGGGAAGAAAGCCUUGGGGCUAAUACCCUCGAGGAAGGACAUCACCCACAGAAGAAGCACCGGCUGAACUCCGUGCCAGCAGCCGCGGUAAUACGGAGGGUGCGAGCGUUAAUCGGAAUUACUGGGCGUAAAGCGCGCGUAGGCGGUCUGAUAAGCCGGUUGUGAAAGCCCCGGGCUCAACCUGGGAACGGCAUCCGGAACUGGCAGGCUAGAGUGCAGGAGAGGAAGGUAGAAUUCCCGGUGUAGCGGUGAAAUGCGUAGAGAUCGGGAGGAAUACCAGUGGCGAAGGCGGCCUUCUGGACUGACACUGACGCUGAGGUGCGAAAGCGUGGGUAGCAAACAGGAUUAGAUACCCGAGUAGUC
Molecule: ribosomal RNA, 466 nt
Filed under: Vreelandella stevensii
Lineage: Bacteria; Pseudomonadati; Pseudomonadota; Gammaproteobacteria; Oceanospirillales; Halomonadaceae
Description: partial 16S ribosomal RNA
Rfam family: Bacterial small subunit ribosomal RNA
Source: RNAcentral